Molecule: non-coding RNA, 336 nt
Organism: Leptonychotes weddellii (Weddell seal)
Lineage: Eukaryota; Metazoa; Chordata; Mammalia; Carnivora; Phocidae
Source: RefSeq, a predicted model, not a curated record
UUCACCUUGCCAAGGGCUUGGCACGGACCAGGACAAAAUUAGCAUGCAAACUGGCGGACAUGGCUCAACUAAAAUGACUGCCACACCAUUGCGAAGAGCUGAUGGGAGAACUUGGGACUAAUUGAAUGGAGAAGACAGAGCACCUGGGUCCAGAUGCAAAGAAAAAAAGUUUGUUGGAGUGAGCUCCUUUCGGGGAACCACCUCAACUGUGCCAUGAGGAGACUCACAUAGGAUGCUGCUGAUUCUGAACAUGAAGAGGAACUUCCGGGAGUAUCAGGAAUGGCUGCCCUAAAGAAGCUGGUUUGGCUGGGCCUUGACAACAGGGGUAGAUGGAUU